This 239-nucleotide ribosomal RNA is filed under the name uncultured bacterium. RNAcentral's name for it is "partial 16S ribosomal RNA". It matches the Rfam family "Bacterial small subunit ribosomal RNA", at positions 28 to 295 of the family's 1533-position model. The record is from RNAcentral.
GACGAACGCUGGCGGCAGGCUUAACACAUGCAAGUCGAACGGGCACUUCGGUGUCAGUGGCAGACGGGUGAGUAACGCGUGGGAACAUACCUCUUGGUUCGGAACAACACAGGGAAACUUGUGCUAAUACCGGAUAAGCCCUUACGGGGAAAGAUUUAUCGCCGAGAGAUUGGCCCGCGUCUGAUUAGCUAGUUGGUGUGGUAAAAGCGCACCAAGGCGACGAUCAGUAGCUGGUCNGA